Molecule: ribosomal RNA, 349 nt
Filed under: Ixodes inopinatus
Lineage: Eukaryota; Metazoa; Arthropoda; Arachnida; Ixodida; Ixodidae
Description: partial large subunit ribosomal RNA
Source: RNAcentral
UUUGACUAUACGAAGGUAUUGAAAUAAGAUUUUAAAUGAGUGCUAAGAGAAUGAUUAAACAAUUAAAAGCUUUCUUUAAUUGAAUAAUUGAAUUUAAUUUUUUAGUGCAAAAGCAAAAAUAAAAAUUAGGGACAAGAAGACCCUAUGAAUUUUUUAUUAAAUUUUAUAAAAAGUUUUAUAAAAUUUAAUUUAAUUGGGGUGAUGGAAAAAGAAUAAAUAUCUUUUUUUAAAGAAAAUUGGUUCCGUUUUUAGCGAUUAAAUGAAAAAAAUACUCUAGGGAUAACAGCGUAAUAAUUUUGGAUAGUUCAUAUAGAUAAAAUAGUUUGCGACCUCGAUGUUGGAUUAGGAU